CGGGAAUUUUGGGCAAUGUGCGAAAGCCUGACCCAGCAACGCCGCGUGAGGGAUGAAGUAUUUCGGUAUGUAAACCUCGAAAGAAUGGGAAGAAUAAAUGACGGUACCAUUUAUAAGCUCCGGCUAACUACGUGCCAGCAGCCGCGGUAAUACGUAGGGAGCAAGCGUUGUUCGGAUUUACUGGGCGUAAAGGGCGCGUAGGCGGCGCGGUAAGUCACUUGUGAAAUCUCUGAGCUUAACUCAGAACGGCCAAGUGAUACUGCUGUGCUAGAGUGCGGAAGAGGCAACCGGAAUUCUUGGUGUAGCGGUGAAAUGCGUAGAUAUCAAGAGGAACACCUGAGGCGAAGGCGGGUUGCUGGGCCGACACUGACGCUGAUGCGCGAAAGCCAGGGGAGCAAAC
Molecule: ribosomal RNA, 400 nt
Filed under: uncultured bacterium
Lineage: Bacteria
Description: bacterial SSU rRNA
Rfam family: Bacterial small subunit ribosomal RNA
Source: RNAcentral